AGACAGCAGCAGCCGCGGUAAUACGAAGGGUGCAAGCGUUACUCGGAAUUACUGGGCGUAAAGCGUGCGUAGGUGGUGGUUUAAGUCCGUUGUGAAAGCCCUGGGCUCAACCUGGGAAUUGCAGUGGAUACUGGGUCACUAGAGUGUGGUAGAGGAUAGUGGAAUUUCCGGUGUAGCAGUGAAAUGCGUAGAGAUCGGAAGGAACAUCUGUGGCGAAGGCGACUAUCUGGGCCAACACUGACACUGAGGCACGAAAGCGUGGGGAGCAAACAGGAUUAGAUACCCGCGUAGUCCCUGUCUCUUAUAA
RNAcentral lists this ribosomal RNA (307 nucleotides) under uncultured bacterium. Its description in RNAcentral is "partial 16S ribosomal RNA". It matches the Rfam family "Bacterial small subunit ribosomal RNA", at positions 506 to 809 of the family's 1533-position model. The record is from RNAcentral.